Molecule: transfer RNA, 75 nt
Filed under: Chloroflexota bacterium
Lineage: Bacteria; Bacillati; Chloroflexota
Also listed under: 2 other names
Description: Chloroflexi bacterium tRNA-Met
Rfam family: tRNA
About the family: Transfer RNA (tRNA) molecules are approximately 80 nucleotides in length. Their secondary structure includes four short double-helical elements and three loops (D, anti-codon, and T loops).
Source: RNAcentral
UGCGGGGUGGAGCAGUGGUAGCUCGUCGGGCUCAUAACCCGAAGGUCGCAGGUUCGAAUCCUGCCCCCGCUACCA